Molecule: long non-coding RNA, 791 nt
Organism: Folsomia candida
Lineage: Eukaryota; Metazoa; Arthropoda; Collembola; Entomobryomorpha; Isotomidae
Exons: 2
Source: RefSeq, a predicted model, not a curated record
GUCGACAUUUACGGAUGUUUCGAUAUCAAUGUCGAGAUGGGUAGUUCCAACGGUGUUGAGGACGGUGAGAUAAGCCUGGGCAAGUGUUUCAGAGGUGGUGCAAGAAUGCUCAAGAUAGGGACCAAGGGCACCUCCUGAGAUCUUUAAUGGGGUUCAGAAUUUCUGGAUCGUCGAUAGCGAAUUCGCCACCCCAAGUUGGAACACAUGGUUCGCGUCCCCCUAAAGCGAACGCGAUGUGGAAAUCCUUUUGUCCCGUGGCUUCAAAGAAGGCCAAGAGGGAGGUCCGAUUUUGGAGAAAUGUGUCAUAAAAUGGAGCAAAUUUGAAGCCUGAGCAGACAAACUAAUUUUAAUGAGGUAAUUUUUUUCAAGUAUAAUAUAAAUUUUGGUUAUGAUAAUUUACCACCAGUGCCAGUCAAACAAGCUAAAAGACCCAGGGUUAGGAUGAAACUUGAUUUAAUCAUUUUUUACCCAAAAGUAGUGGUAUUUGUCAAAGAGAAAUUUUUCAUGGAUUGAAAAUCAUUACACUAAAAAAGUUCACAAAUGAUAGCAUUCGGACUAUUUGAGCCUGAUAAUGUACCUUUGAAUUACGUCAGCAAAAAAGAUACUGAUUUCCAGAUAUCGAUAAAUUGGUGCAGAGAGAACAAUCGAUUGAAACAGAUAUUUUGCAUUUACAAUUGAUUAUCUAUUUAUUAAUCACUGAUGUAUGCAUGCACUGACAUAAUCUCAAGUCCCAAUAAUGUGUCAUUCAUCACAAUUAAUUGACUGCUCCAUUGACUCUGAAGAAUAUCCUU